CAUGAUACAAGGGAAUGCAGUACAAACGCAAGUCUCAACAGUAGAGAGUCAAAACCAUCCAGCACUCAGUGGCCCCAUCGCGCUGGUCAGUAGAGGACCCGAGGCCAUCAGACGCAGCGGAACCUUUCUGGGUCGUAAGGUGAUAGUCCGGGGGACGUAAAUAGCCAGACGACGCGAGGAGGAAAGUGCGGGAGACUGGAAUGAAGCGACUGGAGAGUUAUGAAGGAUGAUGCCGCCGAAGUCCCGAGCGGCUUCGAGACAAGGAAGAGAAGCUCCGCGACUCACUUGAGCCAGUCAGUCAGUGGUCAGUGGCGUCAGCUUUGUUGUGGUGUACGCGUGAGUCUUGUGUUUUCUUGAACGCUUUUUUGGGCUUUAGGUGAACCAAAACUCUCCCAAAGCCUGUCCACAGUGGUCAGCAGCUGUGACACAAGGAGCAGCUUUCUCAGCGACGGGGAGCGGUGGACGGCGGAUGAAUACUUUGGCUCCCGCGCCUUCUUCUGCAUCAUGUCCGCCCGCUGACCCUGGUGGUGGGCGACGUGCGUCAGAGGAGUUGAAAAUGUAGGGGACUCGCUGCUGUGCCCUGCGUGUAGCUGUGAGGUGAAGUGCAGACGGCUGCAUUGUCUCAGCCUCGGAGGUGCCACUUGUUCAAAUUACGAAUGGUUUAAUGUUAUUUUUUGCAGGCUGUGGAAUAUUGCAGUAUCUUAUAACAAGACAAAUGAUAUAAAAAAGCAUGUAAUUUACCGAUAAGCAUUACACAACAACAUUAUUGCGGUGAUAAAAUGUACUCCUGUAAAAUGCUACGUGGCAUCGUCUCUCAGCUGUUUUCAAGGUCGCAAGGGCAGGCUACCCACCCGCCCUCCUCCCUCGCUUUGAUGAUGCCGCGUAGCAUUUUACAGAAGUACUUUUAAUCACCGCAAUAAUGUUGUCCUGUAACGCUUAUCGGUAAAUUACAUGCUUUGUAAUCCCAUUUGUCUUGUUAUAAGAUAAUGUAAUAUUAAACCAUUCGUAAUAUGACUAAGUGGCACCUCCGAGGCUGCGACAAUACAACCGUGUGUCCGUCAUUUCACAGAGCACACCCGCGAGUCCCGUACAUUUUCAAAUCCUCUGAUGGGUAAACAAAGCCUUAAAAU
Molecule: long non-coding RNA, 1130 nt
Organism: Scylla paramamosain (green mud crab)
Lineage: Eukaryota; Metazoa; Arthropoda; Malacostraca; Decapoda; Portunidae
Exons: 4
Source: RefSeq, a predicted model, not a curated record